UUAAGUGACGAAGCGUAUACGGUGGAUGCCUUGGCAGUUAGAGGCGAUGAAGGACGUGUAAGUCUGCGAAAAGCUGUGGUGAGCCGACAAAAUGCAUUUGAGCCACAGAUGUCCGAAUGGGGAAACCCACCUAUUUAUAGGUAUCGUUAACUGAAUACAUAGGUUAACGAGGCAAACGAGGGGAACUGAAACAUCUAAGUACCCUUAGGAAAAGAAAUCAACCGAGAUUCCCCUAGUAGCGGCGAGCGAACGGGGAGCAGCCCUUAAGCUGUUUAGAAUUUAGUGGAAUCCUUUGGGAAGAGGAGCGAUACAAGGUGAUAGCCCUGUACACGACGGAUUCUUUACAGUGAAAUCGAGUAGGUCGGGACACGUGUUAUCUUGACUGAAUAUGGGGGGACCAUCCUCCAAGGCUAAAUACUCCUAACUGACCGAUAGUGAACCAGUACCGUGAGGGAAAGGCGAAAAGAACCCCUGUGAGGGGAGUGAAAUAGAACCUGAAACCGUAUACGUACAAGCAGUGGGAGCCCUUCGGGGUGACUGCGUACCUUUUGUAUAAUGGGUCAGCGACUUAUAUUUAGUAGCAAGGUUAAGUGAAUAACGGAGCCGUAGCGAAAGCGAGUGUUAACUGCGCGUUUAGUUGCUAGGUAUAGACCCGAAACCCGGUGAUCUAGCCAUGAGCAGGUUGAAGGUUGAGUAACAUCAACUGGAGGACCGAACCCACUAACGUUGAAAAGUUAGGGGAUGACUUGUGGCUGGGGGUGAAAGGCCAAUCAAACCGGGAGAUAGCUGGUUCUCCCCGAAAUCUAUUUAGGUAGAGCCUCGGACGAAUUCCAUUGGGGGUAGAGCACUGUUAAGGCUAGGGGGUCAUCCCGACUUACCAACCCUUUGCAAACUCCGAAUACCAAUGAGAACUAUCCGGGAGACACACGGCGGGUGCUAACGUCCGUCGUGGAGAGGGAAACAACCCAGACCGCCAGCUAAGGUCCCAAAAUAUUGCUAAGUGGGAAACGAUGUGGGAAGGCAUAGACAGCUAGGAGGUUGGCUUAGAAGCAGCCACCCUUUAAAGAAAGCGUAAUAGCUCACUAGUCGAGUCGGCCUGCGCGGAAGAUGUAACGGGGCUAAGCAAUAUACCGAAGCUGCGGCAGCAUGUUUACAUGCUGGGUAGGGGAGCGUUGUGUAAGUGGAUGAAGGUGAGUUGUAAAGCUUGCUGGACAUAUCACAAGUGCGAAUGCUGACAUGAGUAACGAUAAUGGGAGUGAAAAACUCCCACGCCGGAAGACCAAGGUUUCCUGUCCCAUGCUAAUCAGGGCAGGGUAAGUCGGCCCCUAAGGCGAGGCAGAAAUGCGUAGUCGAUGGGAAACGGGUUAAUAUUCCCGUACUUAUAUAAUCAGUGAUGGAGGGACGGAGAAGGCUAGGCAAGCUUGGCGUUGGUUGUCCAAGUGAAAGUGAGUAGGCUGAAGACUUAGGUAAAUCCGGGUUUUCAAGGCCGAGACACGAGACGAGCUCCCAAGGGAGUGAAGUUGUUGAUGCCCUGCUUCCAGGAAAAGCUUCUAAACUUAUGAUUAUAUGAACCGUACCCCAAACCGACACAGGUGGUCAGGUAGAGAAUACUAAGGCGCUUGAGAGAACUCGGGUGAAGGAACUCGGCAAAAUUGUACCGUAACUUCGGGAGAAGGUACGCCUCUGUUUGUGAACACUUCGCGUGGUAAGCAAAUGGAGGCCGCAGUGACCAGGUGGCUGGGACUGUUUAUUAAAAACACAGCACUCUGCAAACUCGUAAGAGGACGUAUAGGGUGUGACACCUGCCCGGUGCCGGAAGGUUAAUUGAUGGGGUUAGUUUUCGGACGAAGCUCUUGAUCGAAGCCCCGGUAAACGGCGGCCGUAACUAUAACGGUCCUAAGGUAGCGAAAUUCCUUGUCGGG
This 1922-nucleotide ribosomal RNA is filed under the name marine metagenome. RNAcentral describes it as "bacterial LSU rRNA". It matches the Rfam family "Bacterial large subunit ribosomal RNA", at positions 1 to 1976 of the family's 2925-position model. The record is from RNAcentral.